RNAcentral lists this non-coding RNA (78 nucleotides) under Rhodanobacter spathiphylli. Its description in RNAcentral is "Rhodanobacter sp. SAH sequence". It matches the Rfam family "SAH (S-adenosyl-L-homocysteine) riboswitch aptamer". Lineage: Bacteria; Pseudomonadati; Pseudomonadota; Gammaproteobacteria; Lysobacterales; Rhodanobacteraceae. The record is from RNAcentral.
CCCGUCGAGGGGCGCUGCGACCGCGACCAGUUCACGGCCAGGCUCGACGGCAUCCUUCCGAAACGGCGCCCGGUUUUU